Molecule: ribosomal RNA, 303 nt
Filed under: uncultured bacterium
Lineage: Bacteria
Description: partial 16S ribosomal RNA
Rfam family: Bacterial small subunit ribosomal RNA
Source: RNAcentral
AGCAGUAGCCGCGGUAAUACAGAGGGUGCGAGCGUUAAUCGGAUUUACUGGGCGUAAAGCGUGCGUAGGCGGCUUUUUAAGUCGGAUGUGAAAUCCCUGAGCUUAACUUAGGAAUUGCAUUCGAUACUGGGAAGCUAGAGUAUGGGAGAGGAUGGUAGAAUUCCAGGUGUAGCGGUGAAAUGCGUAGAGAUCUGGAGGAAUACCGAUGGCGAAGGCAGCCAUCUGGCCUAAUACUGACGCUGAGGUACGAAAGCAUGGGGAGCAAACAGGAUUAGAUACCCCGUAGUCCCUGUCUCUUAUACA